GUUAUUGGACUCAGCGCCUACGGUAUUGUUCAAAAAGGUCUUAAUCUUGAGACUAAUCAAAUUGUAGCAAUAAAGAGACUGCAUACUUUUUUUUGACUGCAAAAAUGGUGUCCCAUAUGCAACAAUCUUGGAAAUCUUUAUGCUGACAGAGAUGGAUCACAUAAAUAUUGCCAAGAUAUGAUAUUCCCCUGAAAUGAUUGACGGAAAAAAGAGUAUGGAAAAUUGAUCGGUUAGCACCCUGACUAGUAUUCUCAGCAUCUUCAUUAUAAAGUUCGUCAUUGGGUAUUUUUCCAUGCUGCCUUUCAUUUAUUUUUUGCAAGUAGAGACACUCGUGCAUUUGCAAUAUCAGUGGGAUGUACCAGUUUAUGUAUUCUUGGUGGUACUUUGGAAAUUUGUUGUAUACAUGAGAGAAAAUAUUGCAAUUCAACUAGUACAUUUUCUAUGGAAUAAACUUUAAAUCUGUUUGGUA
Camellia sinensis is the source of this 469-nucleotide non-coding RNA. Lineage: Eukaryota; Viridiplantae; Streptophyta; Magnoliopsida; Ericales; Theaceae. The record is from RefSeq and is a predicted model, not a curated record.